ACCCCCCCACUCACUACAACCUGUACUCUAUACUAGAUAGCAAGGAACCGACCCGCGCCGGCGGCGGGCACCUGGUGGGCGGCGCGCCCGGCGUGUUGCGGCCCGCGCCGCCGCAGGACAUCAAGCGCAAGUCCAUCGUCGUGGGCGGCCGCGAUGAAAGUUGAAGAGCUAACCGCAUCACAUAUUAGAGAAUUUAAAUGGAACUUCAUAGGUGUACCUAACUUACGGCGAAAAUCAUUCUCGAGCAUUAUAUCCAUUAUAAUAAAAAUACGUGUUUAAUAAAAGCCUAAUUUAAGCUGCAAAAAAAAAAAGAAAUAUCGUAGUUCUCUUAAGCUUAAAUGUUUCGGGCGAUCUAAUUAAUAAUGUCAGUGCACAUGGACUUAGACGGUAUAGCUUUUUGCUAAUAUUUAAGCUACUUAAAAUUCGAUAUGUAUAAUUGUUAGGUACCCCCGCAAAAAGUAUUACUUUCUAUAUAAUCAGAUCAGGAGCAUUGACGGUUGCUUUUUUUUACAAAGAAGAUAAAAUAUUUUUAUGAAAUGACAAAGUAUUAAAUUUAGCUUGAUAACGUCUUGAGUGCUGAUCGCAUUACAUACUAAAUUAAAUAUUCUAAUUAAUCUUAGUGGUAUGAUUCCGUGGGAUGAAAUGCGGCCGAUGAAAGUACGUUAAAUGUGCAGUACAAAGACAUACCGAGCCAGUUACCAAGAUUUCUGGAAUCACUGAGACAGUGCUCCCAUUUCUCCCAUCGGACACGAUUAAUGUUUUCAAAAGUUGCAAUACGUUAUUAUGUUAAGAAUCGCUGUGAAUAAUUUGCAGACUUGCAUAUGCUACCGCACAAAUAAAAUAAAAAUACAAAAAAAAAAUGUUUUAAAAUAAGUGUCUAUUACGGUUGCUGUAAAGGUCCUCGUAAUCACGUGUGGUGGCAAAUGCAUACCAGUAUGCAUCUUCAAUGUGUAGUUGUAGAUUAGGCUUCAUUGAUAUAUAUUUUUAUAUAUUGUGAUAAGCGUUGUUAUGCCGACAAGCGAGCAUUUAUUUAAUUACUAACGAAAGAUUUGGUACGUUCGUUAAGGUGUCAUGGGUGAUAACGAGAACUCGAAACAGUCAGGAACAGUUUAUAAUAGAUUGUCGGGCAUUGGAUUCAGGACGAGAGUGCCUGCGCGACUUGCUGCAACGAGCAAGUUCUCAGCUGUCAGGCACAGUCUGCGGCGCCGGAAGGAUUCAUAUUAUACUUUGUUAGUGGGUGAUUUUUGUAUUCCAUCCAGGAAUAUGAAAGUCUCAUUCACUAAUUACAUAUUUGCUCUGGUUACAUAGGAAUACAUAUAAAAUAAUAUUUACCAAUGCGUAGUAAAAGCACUUAUAGAAGAGUUUCUGCAUAAAUUAGUGUAGGUUGGUUAUCAUUCAUUAUCACCUUUCGCUUAGCUCUCAUCGCGCGUCAUGUUCACGUUUGCUUGUGAUCUGUGAUUUUAGCACAUAAUAUAAUGAACCCCGUCUGCUUAGAAAGUCUCAGUGGUUAUUUUAGUAAGUUCCAAGUAAUAUGUAAUGCCGCGGAACGUAAACGAUAAACGUGCAAUAUUCCUAAGCACAUAAACGAAUGAGAAGUGAUGCUUAAAAUACCCAGUACCCGAUUGGUUGAAGUUCUCUAUUGCUUUUAGGAUACAUCCGCUUCAUCUAGAUCUGUAACUUAUAUAAGUACUUACGAAUGUAAUCACGGAUAGGGGCCAGCAGUGCCGCGUCGCGUACAUGAGGAGUUAUGGAACUACGUGAACCACAUGUCAGAAAACCAAAGAUAAAUCACAUUUUUAGAUUUAUUGAUUGAGAUUAAAUGCCACCUGAAAUUCAAUAAGUUAUAUCCCGAAUUACUCGAUGGUUCCAAAACUCCUUGUUUUUCUUGCAAUACAUAUAUGAUUUAGGUGUAAAGUUAUAGUAAAUUAUUUCACAAUUAAGUUAGGUUCUCGAUUUUAUUAUUUUUUAUUUAUUGUUUUACGAACCAAAAUUAUCUCGUUUUUUUUCACUUUUAAAGUGUUGUACGCUUUUUUUACAUACCUCUAUUUACAUUAUUUUAACAAUCAUGAUCAAAUACAUAUAUUUUUUCAUUAAAAAUGGGGAUGUAAGCAAAGAUGCAUUCCACGAGGAAACUCAAGUCUGUGUCUUUGUCGUCGUUAAGUCUAGAUUGUUUUGUUUUGUUGUCGUGUAGGUACAUAAGAGGCUACCCUCGGUUACACGCGCCUGAUGGUGGCGCUCGACGGGCUUCGGCGCAUCGCAAACAAACCGACAGGCUUGCCUUUGCACCAAGUGAUUUAGUUUGUAUUGACAUCUUUUGUAUGAUGUAUUUAAUAUACAGGAAAAUCUCAGAAAGAGCGUUUUCUUGAUUUUUAUUUAUUAUAAAAUAAAAUUAUGAAUUUAAUUUGC
This is a long non-coding RNA of Cydia pomonella (codling moth), 2406 nucleotides long. RefSeq lists it as uncharacterized. The transcript has 2 exons. The record is from RefSeq and is a predicted model, not a curated record. NCBI's taxonomy places the organism in Eukaryota, Metazoa, Arthropoda, Insecta, Lepidoptera, Tortricidae.